GAUGGGUUGGCUGAGUGGUUUAAGCGACGGACUGAUAAUCCGUGUCCUUUAGGACAACAUAGGUUCGAAUCCUAUACCCAUCGCCA
RNAcentral lists this transfer RNA (86 nucleotides) under Actinomycetota bacterium. RNAcentral describes it as "tRNA-Ile". It matches the Rfam family "tRNA". Rfam says of the family: Transfer RNA (tRNA) molecules are approximately 80 nucleotides in length. Lineage: Bacteria; Bacillati; Actinomycetota. The record is from RNAcentral.